This 164-nucleotide small nuclear RNA is filed under the name Camelus bactrianus (Bactrian camel). RNAcentral's name for it is "U1 spliceosomal RNA". It matches the Rfam family "U1 spliceosomal RNA". From Rfam's summary of the family: U1 is a small nuclear RNA (snRNA) component of the spliceosome (involved in pre-mRNA splicing). The record is from Rfam by way of RNAcentral. RNAcentral also lists the same sequence under 1 other name. Lineage: Eukaryota; Metazoa; Chordata; Mammalia; Artiodactyla; Camelidae.
AUACGUAUUUGGCAGGGGAGAUACCAUGAUCACGAAGGUAGUUUUCCCAGGUCAAGGCUCAUCCAUUGCACUCUGGAUGUGCUGACCCCUGUGAUUUCCCCAAAUGUAGGAAACUCGACUGCAUAAUUUGUGGUAGUGGGGGACUGCGUUUGCACUUUCUCCUA